UUGUGGAGGAGGACGCCGAAGGUGGGGCUAAUGACUGGGGUGAAGUCGUAACAAGGUAGCCGUACCGGAAGGUGCGGCUGGAUCACCUCCUAACAGGGAGACAACAAAAUGUUUAAUAUUAUUAUUUUGUCACCUUAGGUCGAUCGGUAUCUCACGUUCUUAAUUUGUUAAGAAUUUCAUUUCCUAAGUUUUUCUAGGUCACACCCAUUAUUUUUCCUGGGCCAUUAGCUCAGGUGGUUAGAGCGCACCCCUGAUAAGGGUGAGGUCCCUGGUUCAAGUCCAGGAUGGCCCAUAUCUCUAUGUUGGGGGUAUAGCUCAGUUGGUAGAGCGCCUGCUUUGCAAGCAGGAUGUCAGCGGUUCGAGUCCGCUUACCUCCACUGAUUACCACCUCUUCCAUAACAGGUAGAAAGGAAAUGUUUUGUGUUGUGAUCAUUAUUCUGAACGAAUCUAGCUUCCUAAUGAAACCAUUAAGAUGCUGGACUCAUUGAAUUAAUUUCAUUGUUUUCAGAGAACCUUGACAACUGCAUAGAUUAUUUUUAAAGACAAUAAGCAUCUUUAUUGAUGCAGAUUUAUUAUUUGUGCGAAUGCAUUAAUAACAAUUCUAUUAAGCUGAUGCUUCAAUUUUGAAGUUAUUGGUCAAGCUACAA
RNAcentral lists this unclassified non-coding RNA (647 nucleotides) under uncultured Prochlorococcus sp. RNAcentral's name for it is "partial 16S-23S ribosomal RNA intergenic spacer; may also contain 16S ribosomal RNA and 23S ribosomal RNA". The stretch from base 305 to 377 matches the Rfam family "tRNA". Lineage: Bacteria; Bacillati; Cyanobacteriota; Cyanophyceae; Synechococcales; Prochlorococcaceae. The record is from RNAcentral.